UGGAACACAAGAAUUUGACUGCAAAAUUCACCUGUUCAAAAUAAAUGAGACAUGUAAUUUCUUACAAACCCCAAAACUCGGGGGGUCCUAGGGUGGGGGUAGUUUUCUGCAGGGCGAUGACAUAUCCUGCAGCGAAGUCUCAGAAACCCUGCUCUGGGCAGUCCAUCUAUUUGUCCACUCAUGUUCUUAGACACAUCCCAGGGGCUGGCCCUGAGCUACUGGGAUGACUGGAGGAGCAUCCAGGGCUGGGGGAGGGGAGUGACUCCCACACAGCAGGUACCCGGAGGUAGGAGGCUGGAUCCACGGAAGGUUCUGAUGUCAGCACUGUCUGUACCACAAGAUGGCUUUACUGAAAUGCCGAGUGCAGGAGCUUAAUCAUGGCGCAUGUGGAAACCAGCCAUGGGCUCUCAGGCCCACUCCUGCCCUGCCCUGGCCCCUCUGUGAUGGGAGAACCAGGACAAGAAGGGGCUGGAUCAGGUGACUGGUCACACAACCUGGGGUCCUUUCACCUUUCUGGGGGUCCCUGAAGGUAGGAAUGGAGUCUGUGAACUGGUGUCAGUAUUUCUCAAAGCCAGCUGUCAGACACUGUGUCUGUCCCUGACGCGGCCGCCCAGGCUCGUGGAAUGCCAAGCGCCUGUCUCUGCUCGGGGCUGACAUCACCUCCGCGUGGGAACAGAGCCUGUGCUCAUGCCGAGCUCAUCGGGAUUGGCAGAAAUCUGCAUCCUUGUUUGGUUUCAAAACAGGGGGCCCAGAAGGAAGACUCAUGAAAGAUGCCCUUGUCGGCGGAAAUUUCAGGAGCUUGGCCCACAGCCCCUGUCUGCACUUCGGCUGUGAAGAGGCCAGAACCACGCCCGCUGCCCAAGAGCUAGGCUCUGAUGAGGGGCUGCUGCGUGCCUGGCUGGGACCUAGUGGAAUAAGAGAGAAAGCCCUUGCUCCCGUGGAGCAGGCGAGAGGCGACACGGAUACAGGCUGAGAGUGAGUGACCCAUGGAGGAAACAACAGGGAGACGGGCAGGGGGCGGUGGGGUGGGGGCCAGGGAAGGGCUCUUUCCAGAGGGGGCAUCUGUGCUAAGACCUGAGGGACAAGAAGGAACUAGCCCCGCAAACAACACAAUCGGGUGCUUUUCCCUUUGAUGUCUGAGCAGCCUGGAGUCGCUCCAGACAGGCCCGGCUGCCCCCACU
This 1181-nucleotide long non-coding RNA is filed under the name Homo sapiens (human). Its description in RNAcentral is "HSALNT0277992". The record is from RNAcentral. Lineage: Eukaryota; Metazoa; Chordata; Mammalia; Primates; Hominidae.